AGCUCUGCGUGGUGGCAGUAUGGUAGCCAAUGAGGUUUAUCUGAGGUGUAAUUAUUGCUAAUUGAAAACUUUUCACAAUACCCUGCUAUGAUGACUUGAAAUAUAGUUGGCUUGGGCAAUUUUUGAGUCUCUAUGGUGA
Small nuclear RNA from Choloepus hoffmanni (Hoffmann's two-fingered sloth), 139 nucleotides. Its record names the gene U4. It matches the Rfam family "U4 spliceosomal RNA". From Rfam's summary of the family: U4 small nuclear RNA (U4 snRNA) is a component of the major U2-dependent spliceosome. The record is from Ensembl. Lineage: Eukaryota; Metazoa; Chordata; Mammalia; Pilosa; Megalonychidae.